Xenia sp. Carnegie-2017 is the source of this 732-nucleotide long non-coding RNA. RefSeq lists it as uncharacterized. The record is from RefSeq and is a predicted model, not a curated record. NCBI's taxonomy places the organism in Eukaryota, Metazoa, Cnidaria, Anthozoa, Malacalcyonacea, Xeniidae. The transcript has 5 exons.
AUCAACAACAUCGUCAACAUCAUCAUCAUCAUCAUCAUCAUCAUCAUCAUGUGGUUUGAGUUUGACGAGUAAUCUAACGCGUCAUAAAUUACCAAAUCCAAAUACUGAAAAGGAAGAUAUUUAGAAUGGAUUCGGCAAGUACAGCGCACUCGUAAGGACUUUCAAGGUCCACCAUUGCCGUACAGAUCGUCAGAUGCUUUCUUCACUUGUGGCUUCUUCAACAUCAUCAGAUUCGGUUAAUGAGCCUGUGGAGCCCAUGAUGAGGGAUUGGAAUAUUUAAGUAAUAUGGGCGGCAAAGAGAAAAUGUUUUCAGAAAAAUAUGUGCAAGUUAAAAUGAAGGGUCGGGGGGAAAAAUUGUUUGCUGCUAGCAAGGAGAGAUCACUUGAGCUAUUUAAAGAGUGGAAGCCUUCUAUAUGUAAACAUUUGUACUGGUGUGCUAACAAUGGAGAAGAGAAGCCUGUCUGAAAAGCCCUAUCUAACCACGUGAUCCACACAUUCCAGCCUGCAAACAUGGUUAACUAGCGGAACGGAAAUAUUUAAGCAGCUAUUAUAAAGCAUAUGCUCGACUAUCUGAAGUUGCAUUCAAGACGACUGUGAUGAAGGAUGUUAUGCAGUUGUCUACAAACCGUAUCACAUCAGGAGUUGAAUCAUUCCAUUCCCUGCCAAAUCACAUAGCUCCAAAGAGGCUACAUUAUAGUUAUCAUGGAAUGAAAGCAAUGUAAUUGUGUAAAA